RNAcentral lists this unclassified non-coding RNA (161 nucleotides) under uncultured Ascomycota. RNAcentral describes it as "sequence contains ITS2". Lineage: Eukaryota; Fungi; Ascomycota. The record is from RNAcentral.
GUACCCUCAAGCUUUGCUUGGUGUUGGGCGUUUUUGUCUCCCCCAAAAGGGGGACUCGCCUUAAAAGGAUUGGCAGCCGGCCUACUGGUUUCGCAGCGCAGCACAUUUUUGCGCUUGCAAUCAGCAAAAGAGGACGGCAAUCCAUCAAGACUCCUUCUCAC